This 879-nucleotide ribosomal RNA is filed under the name uncultured Actinobacteridae bacterium. RNAcentral's name for it is "bacterial SSU rRNA". It matches the Rfam family "Bacterial small subunit ribosomal RNA", at positions 8 to 893 of the family's 1533-position model. Lineage: Bacteria; Bacillati; Actinomycetota; Actinomycetes. The record is from RNAcentral.
AGGGUUUGAUCCUGGCUCAGGACGAACGCUGGCGGCGUGCCUAAUACAUGCAAGUCGAACGAGACUUUCUUCGGUGGUAACACCUUUGAUUGUCUAGUGGCGAACGGGUGAGUAACACGUGAGAAACCUGCCCUGAAGACGGGGAUAACAGGAGGAAACUUCUGCUAAUACCCGAUACCCCCACCGGAUCGCAUGGUCUGGUGAGGAAAUGGAUUCCGCUUCAGGAGGGUCUCGCGGCCUAUCAGCUUGUUGGUGAGGUAACGGCUUACCAAGGCUUGGACGGGUAGCUGGUCUGAGAGGACGAUCAGCCACACUGGGACUGAGACACGGCCCAGACUCCUACGGGAGGCAGCAGUAAGGAAUAUUGCGCAAUGGGCGAAAGCCUGACGCAGCAACGCCGCGUGCGGGAUGAAGGCCCUCGGGUUGUAAACCGCUUUCAGUAGGGAAGAAAAUGACGGUACCUACAGAAGAAGCCCCGGCCAACUACGUGCCAGCAGCCGCGGUAACACGUAGGGGGCGAGCGUUGUCCGGAUUUAUUGGGCGUAAAGAGCUCGUAGGCGGUUUCGUAAGUCGGAUGUGAAAACUCCAGGCUCAACUUGGAGACGCCAUUCGAUACUGCGAUGACUUGAGUCCGGUAGGGGAGUGUGGAAUUCCUGGUGUAGCGGUGAAAUGCGCAGAUAUCAGGAGGAACACCGGCGGCGAAGGCGGCACUCUGGGCCGGUACUGACGCUGAGGAGCGAAAGCGUGGGUAGCAAACAGGAUUAGAUACCCUGGUAGUCCACGCCGUAAACGGUGGGCACUAGGUGUGGGAUUCACUCAACGGAUUCCGUGCCGCAGCUAACGCAUUAAGUGCCCCGCCUGGGGAGUACGGCCGCAAGG